AAGAGCAAUUAUUCAGACAAGCCACCUGACAUUGUUGAGAGCUUUUGGCAACUGCACCCCGAGCAUUAUCAGGUAGCCUCACAUCUGUCAUGACAUAGAACUUAUCAGACUGAGUGUGCGCGGAUCUCGAGUUGGUCUGGCAGAACAAUGGUGCAUUCCUCUUGCACCCACCACUGUAAUCUUGGAGGUCCCAGUCACUCUGAACCUUCUGGCUGA
RNAcentral lists this ribosomal RNA (216 nucleotides) under Triticum aestivum (bread wheat). RNAcentral describes it as "partial small subunit ribosomal RNA". Lineage: Eukaryota; Viridiplantae; Streptophyta; Magnoliopsida; Poales; Poaceae. The record is from RNAcentral.